Molecule: RNA transcript, 2360 nt
Organism: Coregonus clupeaformis (lake whitefish)
Lineage: Eukaryota; Metazoa; Chordata; Actinopteri; Salmoniformes; Salmonidae
Gene name: SWI/SNF-related matrix-associated actin-dependent regulator of chromatin subfamily B member 1
Exons: 11
Source: RefSeq, a predicted model, not a curated record
AACACGCCCAUUUGAGCAUGCGUUGUGCAGCUUUGUUACUGUUAGCUACUUAGCUUAGCUAUCUAUUGUGAAAAUGGCGUUAAGCAAAACAUUUGGCCAGAAGCCGAUUAAAUUGCAGCUAGAGCAAGAUGGAGACUUUUACAUGGUUGGAUCAGAGGUUGGAAACUACCUGCGUAUGUUCAGGGGCUCUCUGUAUAAAAGGUACCCAUCACUCUGGAGGAGGUUAGCCUCAGUAGAGGAAAGGAAGAAGAUUGUAGCAUCAUCUCACGCCACAAGUGUAACUCUGCUGAAGGCGUCCGAAUGUGAAGAGAUCUUUGAGGGGAAUGAUGAGAAGUACAAAGCGGUUUCCAUAAGCACAGAGCCACCGGCGUACCUCAGGGAGCAGAAGUCAAAGCGGAACAGCCAGUGGGUCCCUACGCUGCCCAACAGCUCCCACCACCUGGAUGCUGUGCCAUGCUCUACCACCAUCAACCGCAACCGCAUGGGCCGUGACAAGAAGAGGACCUUCCCCCUGUGCUUUGACGACCACGACCCGGCGGUGAUCCAUGAGAAUGCGUCUCAGGCCGAGGUGCUGGUUCCCAUUCGUCUGGACAUGGAGAUUGACGGGCAGAAGCUCCGAGAUGCCUUCACCUGGAACAUGAACGAGAAGCUGAUGACCCCGGAGAUGUUUGCUGAGAUCCUGUGUGACGACCUGGACCUGAACCCCCUGGCCUUUGUCCCGGCCAUCGCCUCAGCUAUACGCCAGCAGAUAGAGUCCUACCCCACAGACAGCAUCCUGGAUGAACAGACAGACCAGAGGGUCAUCAUCAAGCUGAACAUCCACGUGGGGAACAUCUCCCUGGUGGACCAGUUUGAGUGGGACAUGUCGGAGAGGGAGAACUCUCCGGAGUCGUUUGCCCUGAUGUUGUGCUCCGAGCUGGGCCUGGGAGGAGAGUUUGUUACCACCAUUGCCUACAGCAUUCGCGGCCAGCUCAGCUGGCACCAGAGGACGUACGCCUUCAGGUCUGAUUUAAGUGAGAACCCCCUGCCAACGGUGGAGAUUGCCAUCCGCAACACAGGCGACGCUGACACAUGGUGCCCACUGCUGGAGACUCUGACAGAUGCAGAGAUGGAGAAGAAGAUCAGGGACCAGGACAGGAACACCAGGCGCAUGAGACGACUUGCCAACACUGCCCCUGCCUGGUAGAGAGAAGCAGCAAUGAGCUACUACAGAGCCUCUAGUCCAGUGGUGUUUUUGGAACCGUGGCACACCUUGAUGGGAUAUAAAAUUCUGCGGCACACCAGAAAUGUCCCUAUUAAUUUAUUUUGUGAGCGUCCCGCGAAUCUGCGCCAGAAAGAAUAAAAGGUAUGUAUUAGGCAAAUAGGUAUUUAGUUUUGAACGGUCUGUGCUAGAGGUGCAACCACGGACACAAAGCCAAGCUCCGUUUGUUUCUAUGGCAGAGGCUGUGGGAUAGCUAAGCUCAGAGCCAUAUAUUAAGAAGUAAAUUACUCUGGCUAAGCCUAAUCAGACUUACCUGUGCUAAUGGUUAUCACAGACUAAGUAAAAUUAUACAAAUGACUUUGCUCAUGAUGCGCGCCCCUCAAAUUAUACAAAUGUAACAGCCUGAGCACACUGGACUUGAAACAAUGAUACAGAUGUAACAAUGUACCAUUUAAUGUAUUAUCUGACAGGCACAGGUGCUCCCAAGUCAAAAUUCCAGGUACAUUCCACAGGUUAUGUUUCUAAGUGAGUGUUCAAAAAAAAUGAUCAAGGUUAGGAAACGUUUUGCGGCACACCACUGCUUCUAGUCAACUCCUAUGGGCCCUCUGUGGACACACACACAAACGUGACAAUAGACAUUCCACUGGUCCCUUCUUACAGCCCCCAUAAUGUUAACUAACUCAAUGCUUGAUUGUUAUACUGAUCCAGUAUCAAUGCCACAUCUCUACUCCCAUGAAUUAGAAAAAUUACUUCUGAUCCCAGAUCAGAGACUUUUCAAGGAGCCUUAACCAUUUCUAGUGUUGAAUCCCAAUCCGUUCCCCUGUAGUGGUUCAAGCCGCUACUAAUUUCUGAUGAGAUGAUGCGAUGUGGUAAAUGAACGGUGCCAUGGGUAGAGUGUAUGGGUCAGAAUGAAAUCUAGGCUUUGUCAAUUCUAUGGAUUCACCAUCUAAGUGAGCUCUACCUGGUAAUACUGCUUUGAUGCACUCAUAUCCCUCAUGAUAGACAAUGCUGACUGACUUGAUCAUAUCUGUUAAUAGAAACUCAGACUCAACUCUUGCGAAUAAUGUAAAGUUAUGUAUUGUGCUUUCUUUUUGUGAAGGUGCUGAUACUUUUAGUACAUUUUUAGCUUUUGUUUCCUUUUUUAAAUAAAAUAACAUAA